Molecule: small nuclear RNA, 103 nt
Organism: Juglans regia (Persian walnut)
Lineage: Eukaryota; Viridiplantae; Streptophyta; Magnoliopsida; Fagales; Juglandaceae
Source: RefSeq, a predicted model, not a curated record
GUCCUUCCAGAGACAUCCGAUGAACUUAGAACGAUACAAAGGAGAUUAACAUGGCAUCUGUGCAAGAAUGACCUGCACAAAUCGAGAAUUAAGUUAAUUUCUA